RNAcentral lists this non-coding RNA (26 nucleotides) under Homo sapiens (human). The record is from RNAcentral. Lineage: Eukaryota; Metazoa; Chordata; Mammalia; Primates; Hominidae.
GAACACGAAGAGGGAGCCAUCUGCCA